GAGGCAGGAAUCAGAUUGUCCCUGAGAGCCUCCAGAGCGAGGAAGCAUGGUCUGCCAGCACUGUGACUUUGGCCCAGGGAUACUGAUUUUGGACUUCUGGCCUCCAGAAUUGUGAGAAAGUUGCCUUGAGCAGUGCUAAAGGAGGGGCUGGAGAGAACAAGCUACAUGGUUCAGGAAAAUCCCCCCUCAAUUCCCCAGGGAGCCAGAUAUUCUGAAUCCAUUUAUAAACACCAUCAAUGAUGAUCCUUCAAUGGAGAGAUCCAUCAAUGAUACAGAAAAGCAGUGUCUAGUUGAAAGAAAAGAAAACAGUCUGGUCCAUGGGACUUGCAACACUGAAACAGAAAGCGUUUCACCAAGAUGUCAAAACAGGAAGAACUUCUGACAUAAUCAGCACUGAUAGUAGCACAAGAAAAUACUGGCUUGUCUUUCUGAUGAAGAACUCUAUUAAAGGAUGAUCUGCAUUGAGUUUGAUUUUAAGAGUGAUAACAUAGGACUGUGUUGCUUGCAUAUUGAAUUUCCAAAGCUCAAUGAUCUCUGACUAUGCAAAGAACUGUUUUUACGUGGUCAUAUAUGUCAAAUAAAGUGAAAAUGAAAGUGAA
Long non-coding RNA from Odocoileus virginianus texanus, 599 nucleotides. RefSeq lists it as uncharacterized. The record is from RefSeq and is a predicted model, not a curated record. NCBI's taxonomy places the organism in Eukaryota, Metazoa, Chordata, Mammalia, Artiodactyla, Cervidae.